Molecule: long non-coding RNA, 3914 nt
Organism: Dendronephthya gigantea
Lineage: Eukaryota; Metazoa; Cnidaria; Anthozoa; Malacalcyonacea; Nephtheidae
Exons: 5
Source: RefSeq, a predicted model, not a curated record
GUCUUUUCAAAAUGAGACGCACACGAAAUAGCAUGCAUAUAGCCCAAAUGCGCACAUAUUCGAUUAUAAAAUUCCUUUGAAAUACAACAGUAUGAAAAUGUUUUCAAUAUAAUAUACCUGGGAAUUUGUCAGCGAGACGUUUCUUUUGUAAUCGUUCACUAACAGCCAUUGAUAACAAAUGCCACGAAAAAUGCGCCAACAAAAUUCUUAAAAUCCCGGGAUGUUCGUUAAAGAAGUGAACCUUGGAUGAGUGUGAAUUUGCGCGCGCGAGCAGACCUGUAAUGUAGAACAUUGAAAGCAACCAAUCAAAUCUCUAAACCCAAUAGGGAAAAAUUUUGACUUUUUAGAUCACAUUUCAACUGAGAAGAAAAACUCACAAUGGGUUCGCGCGGCAGCUGCAUGGCAGCGUUUAGAAAUACUUUUACCGUUGCACUUGAUCACACGAAGCAUACUUUUUCCGUUGCACACGAAGAUCUGGCCAAGUACCAACUGAAAACGCUAACAUGUAAAAAACAACAUACGCCUUUGUCUCUGGAGACUGAUACUGAUUCUAAUGAUGAUACCGAUUCUAAUAAGGAGACUAACAGUUCUGCUGAAUCUGUAGGUAGGUUCUCUCACUGGAAAUGAUGCUGACCCAAUAUUUAUGCACUAAUAUUUGGCAGUUAGGAGGUACUAUUAUGUAGCUUUAGGAAGUACUAUUAACUCCCAAUGUUUUUUUUGCUGAAAGUUGCAGUAGAUUUCGUUUUAUAAAAUUUGCAUAUAUACCUAUAGGUUGAUACAAAAACCGAAUAUUCGAAUACACCGAAUACCGGAGCAAUUCAGUCCAUUUGGCAAACACAAGCAAUUGUGAUACAAGCGAUUUAGACCGCAGCACUUAUAGCGGAAAUCCCAGUCAUGAAAUUCUACCUUUGAGCUGUAAGUUAGAAUUUAGCGAUGUGUUUAUUAUUUGAGCAAAUUAUAAGCAAACGUGCACUAUAUACAACUAUUUCAGUUUUAUGUUACCAACUUUUAUGUGUGCAUGUAUGUGUGCAUGAUAUAGCGGCCAUGUAGUACAGCCAUGCGCCGAAAUCUAGGAAAAUGUUAAAUAAUUAGAUAUCGAAGUACUUUAGUAAUAUACAAAAAAUUGCUUCAUAGCUGCAUGUUUCUUAUUUUAGUAGAUCCAGAAUGCAAUGCAUCAGCAAUUGCUGCAGGCUUCAGCGAUAUCGAAGACACCUCGACAUGCAUUCACACAGAUAGCGACUCUUCCAUAUCAAGUGAUGACACUAUGGAACUUUCUUCUGGUGAUAAUGAACAAACAAGUGAUUCAGACGAUGAAAUAAUAACCUCCCAAUACUUAGAACUGUUCCAGGGGUCUCCUUUAUCCGUGGAAGAACUUAAUGCGGUUCUACUAGCUUUGAAGCAGAGACACAAUUUUUCAAAUUUUGCUUUGGGUAGCAUUUUGAAAAUGCUUCAACUGUGUCUACCAGAUAGCACCAACCUUUCUGCAUCAAGCUACAUCUUGAAAAAAAGAAUGAAAGAGAGCUCACAUAUAUUUCCAUAAGAUAUGUGACAUGCAUGAAUUGCCAAAGCCCCUUGGUUGAUGACCUGUGCAGGAACGAAAAGUGCUCGUUACAUAGAAUGCCUGCAAAAGGAGGAAAUUCGAGUAUCUUUUAUGUUAUAGACAUUCUUCCAGAGUUAAAAAGAUUAAUAUCAGGCUAAUGGCAUAUUAUUAAAAGAUUUACUGUGGCCUACCAGCAUACUUUUGUGAUAUUUACAAAGAUAUAUUAGAUGGAAAAUCAUAUCAAUCGCAGAGUACUGAAGUACGAAAAGAUGGUCAUUUCCCAAUCACCCUUUAUUGGCAUGUUGAUGGAGCACCCGCGUUUAGAUCGAGCAGCGCCUCUAUCUGGCCUGUUCAGAGCUUUGUUGUCGAACUUCCACCACCAUUGCGAUAAUCUUUUAAGAACAAUAUAAUGUUCUGUAUUUGGUAUGGAAAACGAAAACCGAAUAAGGAGGUUAUAAGGAGGGAAAACCGAAUAAACAGAAAUUUGUUGAAGAAGUGAUUCAUUUAGGCUCUGGCCCGACAAUUUCUAUUGGUGAUCUUGAAUCAAAGUUUAAACUAGUCGUAAAUGGGCAAGUUGUUGACUUAGUCGCAAAAGCCCCCUCUGUUAAUUUUAUCCAGUUCAAUGGAAAGUCUGGCUAUUGUUCUUGUCUCCAUUCAGGGCAAAAAAUGGUUGGCCCUGGUAAUAAACGUGUUUAUCCUUAUACGAGCACGCCAUUUCCACGCCGCACACACGAAGAUACAGUAGCUUACGCACAAAUAGCUUAGGAAACAGGAGAAACAGUUUUUGGAGUAAAAGAGCGGUCGAAUGUGCAUUCAAUUCUCAAGAUUCCAGGGAAAGUUGAGAUCAUUCAAAGAAUUUAAAAGAUGGAAAGCUAGUGAAAAGCAGGCCUUUUUCCUCCACGCUAGCCUUCCAAUUUUGAAAGAUAUUCUGCCAUCGGAGUUCUUUUUCCAUUUCUCGUCACUGGCGUUCGGAUUUUAUGUUAUGGAUAUAACAUUACUGAGGACCAGAUCUAUCUCAGUUGCUGGGGCUAUGCUCGACAGUUACACAAGGAUGCUUCCGAAACUGUAUGAUAUUUCAGAAGCAACUUUCAACUCGCAUUCCCUCACCUUGCCGAACAUGGGCCUUGCUUAGAGAGCAUUGGCCUUUAAUCCUUCAUUCUGCUUUUGUGUUUGAAUCAAUGCUUGCGCAUCUUAAAAGGCUGUUUCAUGGUACACGGGGAAUACCAGAUCAGAUAUGUAAAAAUCAGUAAGAAAGAAAUCAGUAUGCUUUCUUGUUGAUAUUAAAGAAGCUGACAAAUAUUUUGGAGAAGUAAAAUUUUUCGUGAAGAAGGAGAACACUGGUUUCGCAAUAAUAAGGGUUUAUCAUAGUUUAAAUUAUAACGAGUGUCAAGAAGGUUUACCCCCGCCAACAGAUCCAGUCCUGAAAGAGUUUUUGCAUUCAGGUCAUCUUGGUUCUCACUUCAUUGCUGUGGAAAGACAACCCUGGUGAAGUUUGUAAAUUGCUCAUCCUUUAUUGGUAAGAUAAUUUUGGUGGAAAGACAAAACGAUAGUUCUUUUGGUUUUGUUUCCCCAGUUCUCAAGUGUUAUUAGAAUGACUAAUUGAAACUGUUACCAAUUUUAAAAAUCUUUCAAAUUAUGAACCUUUAAAACUUUCGUAAGAAUAUAUGUAAUAAUCCUGUAAUAACGCAAAACGAUUUAAAAAAAUCUUGUAAGAAUAUGGUAAGAUCUUAAAGAGAUCCUGUAAGAAUUUCUUUAGGGCUUCUUUACUAUGAGUUGACCUACCAGGUUAGAUAAACAAAUAACCUAGAUUACCGUUUAUAAUUGCAAAACCAAGUGAAACCUUGUAUAAGCAACUUGGUUAGAUGCUUUAGCAAGCACAUGACAUGCAGCAUAAGGCAUCUGCUAAUGGAAUAAAAUCUGCUAAUGUUGGCCCCAAAACUCGUCAGACUUGCUGAGGGAAAGAACUUCUCAGGAGAGGGAAAGAAAUUGCUAAAUCUUACGAAAUGUGGAGAGAACAUCGAGUGUGGUGCUGAUAGUGAAAGUGCUGAAUUGAAUGCAGUGGAACAAGCUUAUGUUGCUUUAUGUCUGUUGCCAAUGAUGCUAGAAAGUCAACAGCAAUGUGCAAUCCAGCAUCAUAUCUUUGUCAGUUUCGAGAAGCUAAAGAUGUCACAAGAAGUUCAAAGCCUGGCAUGGGACCAUAGAAGAGCCUCAGGUAGAUGAAGUGUACGGUUGUUGCUAAAAAUCGAGUUGUUUUCUCAAGACUACCAUUACUUCAUGCUGUGGAGAUGAUGAUGCUCCUGUAUUAUGUUUGCAACAUUGAAUACCCGAGAGAGUAUAGCAAUACAAUUGUAUUUUUACAAAGGCAAAUGCUGAA